AAAAAAUAAAAUAAAUAAAAAUAAGAAGUAGUACCUUUGGCCCAGGUUGUAUCGGGGUCCCGGCCUUGUUACCUUCGUCGUUUAACUUGAUUUGUCUUUGUAGAUUCCUGGGCACCCCUCCCCGCCAGUGCUGGCGUAAAGACACUGCUCCCAGUACCAAGUUUUGAAGGAUGAUAAAGAAGAUGUCACAUGUCUGGCCUGAAGUUUUGCCCACCCACCAAAACCUGGCACACUGACCUGUGCAGGUCUCAGCAUGAAAAGUCCCUGCAUAUAUGAGAGAAAGAGCAUUGAUCAAAGGAUUCCUAGGUUAUGUUUCCAUUCCUGAAAAACCCAAGCUUAGAUUUAUUGAAAGGGCACCACUUGUGCCAAAAGUAAGAAGAGAACCUAAAAAUUUAAGUGACAUACGGGGACCUUCCACUGAAGCUACGGAGUUUACAGAAGGCAAUUUUGCAAUCUUGGUGAGUGAAUUCAGCAUCGAGCAGCAAUGGGAUGGAAGCUAGGGAAUAACAAAAUCUCAUACUCCUUGAGAUAAUUUAGUCUCUUCCUCCACAGUUUUUAUUAGAACUGCCACCAGUUGCUCUUUAAACUGGUACGUACAGAGGCUACUGGGUACCCAGUAAACAUUUGGGUUAUAUAUCUUUUUUUUUUUUUUUUAAUGUAGAGUGAAAAUAACGUAAAAGCAGAAGGAAGGGGCUAGCUAAUGUGCCCCAUAAUCAGAUCAUGAGAUCUUUUCAAGCCCUGGUAAAAAUAAAACCAUCCACAAUAUAGGAUGUGGAAGACAGCUGUUUCCUUACUUGUUGAGUAGCUUCCAUGAAGACUUGAUGUCAGCAGCCACACAAAUGGGUGUGCACUAGGAUUUGUUUUCCACCAGGCAGCCAGAGUGAUAUUCCAAAGUCCUCUUCCUGCAGCCUACAUAAUCACCCCCAC
Molecule: small RNA, 927 nt
Filed under: Pan troglodytes (chimpanzee)
Lineage: Eukaryota; Metazoa; Chordata; Mammalia; Primates; Hominidae
Description: retained intron
Source: RNAcentral